This 857-nucleotide ribosomal RNA is filed under the name Samoaia leonensis. RNAcentral's name for it is "eukaryotic LSU rRNA". It matches the Rfam family "Eukaryotic large subunit ribosomal RNA", at positions 58 to 768 of the family's 3401-position model. The record is from RNAcentral. Lineage: Eukaryota; Metazoa; Arthropoda; Insecta; Diptera; Drosophilidae.
AAAGAAACUAACAAGGAUUUUCUUAGUAGCGGCGAGCGAAAAGAAAUCAGUUCAGCACUAAGUCACUUUGUCUAUAUGGCAAAUGUGAGAUGCAGUGUAUGGAACAUCAAUAUUCUAGUAUGAGAAAUUAACGAUUUAAGUCCUUCUUAAAUGAGGCCAUUUACCCAUAGGGGGUGCCAGGCCCGUAUAACGUUAAUGAUUACUAGAUGGUGUUUCCAAAGAGUCGUGUUGCUUGAUAGUGCAGCACUAAGUGGGUGGUAAACUCCAUCUAAAACUAAAUAUAACCAUGAGACCGAUAGUAAACAAGUACCGUGAGGGAAAGUUGAAAAGAACUCUGAAUAGAGAGUUAAAUAGUACGUGAAACUGCUUAGAGGUUAAGCCCGAUGAACCUGAAUAUCCGUUAUGGAAAAUUCAUCAUUAGAGUUGUAAUAUUUAAUAAAUAUUAUAAUAAUAGUGUGCAUUUUUUCCAUAUAAGGACAUUGUAAUCUAUUAGUAUUAGAAAAUUUAUCAAAAAAUUGUGGAUAUUGUUUAUUCAAAUUAAAGUGCUCGCAUUUUAACAUAAAAUAAAUACUGCAAAUUUGAUAAAGUAUUGAUAGAUUAAUAUGACUACAGUGCGCUAAUUUCUAGGAAUUAUAUAAUGGCAUGAUUAUCAUCGAUUUUUGUGUUUAUUAUAUGCACUUGUAUGAUUGACAAUGCGAAAGAUUCAGGAUACCUUCGGGACCCGUCUUGAAACACGGACCAAGGAGUCUAACAUACGUGCAAGUUAUUGGGAUAUAAACCUAAUAGCGUAAUUAACAUGACCAAUAAUGGGAUUAGUUUUUUAGCUAUUUAUAGUUGAUUAACACAAUCCCGGGGCG